This 492-nucleotide ribosomal RNA is filed under the name uncultured bacterium. Its description in RNAcentral is "partial 16S ribosomal RNA". It matches the Rfam family "Bacterial small subunit ribosomal RNA", at positions 29 to 507 of the family's 1533-position model. The record is from RNAcentral.
AGUGAACGCUGGCGGUAGGCCUAACACAUGCAAGUCGAACGGCAGCACAGUAAGAGCUUGCUCUUACGGGUGGCGAGUGGCGGACGGGUGAGGAAUACAUCGGAAUCUACUUUUUCGUGGGGGAUAACGUAGGGAAACUUACGCUAAUACCGCAUACGACCUACGGGUGAAAGCAGGGGAUCUUCGGACCUUGCGCGAUUGAAUGAGCCGAUGUCGGAUUAGCUAGUUGGCGGGGUAAAGGCCCACCAAGGCGACGAUCCGUAGCUGGUCUGAGAGGAUGAUCAGCCACACUGGAACUGAGACACGGUCCAGACUCCUACGGGAGGCAGCAGUGGGGAAUAUUGGACAAUGGGCGCAAGCCUGAUCCAGCCAUACCGCGUGUGUGAAGAAGGCCUUCGGGUUGUAAAGCCCUUUUGUUGGGAAAGAAAAGCAGCAGGUUAAUACCUCGCUGUUCUGACGUUACCCAAAGAAUAAGCACCGGCUAACUUCGUG